CCAGGAAGUGUGGACAGGAAUUUUAAAUUUAGAAGGUUUAACCUUUCACACUGAAACUCAGUUACAUCUGUUCCAGUUUAAAGUUUCUUUUAUUCUAAAAAGAUUCUCGAUUUAUUUCUAAAUGUGAACUUGAACUUGU
This is a long non-coding RNA of Thalassophryne amazonica, 139 nucleotides long. RefSeq lists it as uncharacterized. The transcript has 4 exons. Lineage: Eukaryota; Metazoa; Chordata; Actinopteri; Batrachoidiformes; Batrachoididae. The record is from RefSeq and is a predicted model, not a curated record.